Molecule: long non-coding RNA, 728 nt
Organism: Bos taurus (domestic cattle)
Lineage: Eukaryota; Metazoa; Chordata; Mammalia; Artiodactyla; Bovidae
Source: Ensembl
GUUAGUAGUCCCAGCACAUUCAUUAAUGAAGUUGGGUAUGAGUGUUAGCUUUAACAAAGUAAUCCUAUGACUUCUAUGAAUGUUCUGUAAAGAAUCUUGGACAUUUUUAAAGCUGUUUGAGAGAGAUGUUGGGGAUCCUUGUAGUAAAUACUAGGGAUUCAAAGACGGAAGACAGCCUAGGAAGACUGGAGCAAGUAUUAGUAGCACGAGAAAUCUGUGUGAACAAUAAGGACCCCAAGAUGUACUUUACUGCCCUCAGAGGAGGACUUUAAAAAUGAGAAUUUUUCCAUGAUGUUUCAUAUAAAAAUGUUGGUGUCACCGGUUCACUUGGAACAAUCGCCUGGAAGAAGGGAAAAAGAGGCCUUACUUACUCAAGGAGGAGCAGGCUGCCAGAGUGUGUGAGACCUGACUAGUGCCUUGCUGGCCUCAGCUCCGCCAUUGCAUGUUCAUCUGAACUAGGACCCAAGGGUACUUGGAGAAGGUGUUGGGUGCGGAUUUCUACAAACUGCCAAGGGCUACAGCAAUGAGAACUCUCUCAGCGGUAGACCUGCUUCAGCAUGAAGGACUGCACUUAAAGGGAUGCAUACUAUUCCAGCUCAAGCAACAGAUACUGAAGUGCAGAUCACUGUCCUUUGUUGAAAAGGAUCAGCAGUUUGUCAACAUAGGUAACACGCCAGAGCAAGCCUUGGGAUGCAACUCUGAAAACAGGUUAGGCCCUCUUUUCCCCA